CCAGAGUAAACCAAAUAGUUUUAGUCCUGGGAAGGGGUUUAUUCUCUUGUUUACAUUUACUUCUUUCUUCAUCUGAUUCCAGUCUACAUCUCGAGCAUCCUCAAAAUAGUCAAAAUAAUCCUCCAUCAGUGACAUUUGAGAAUGUUUUUUCCCCUCCCAGCAUACCAGGAGCUGUGAGAUGGAAAAGGUAUUCCAGUCUGUAAAACAGGCCUUCUCUUUGGUUAAAUAUGGAGUUCCUGACAGGAAGCACUGCCUUGGGCCAGCUCAGCAGAACAAGGGACCAUGAGGUCAACAGCAAUAAGAGGAUUUAAAGACAACAGUUGAGUAUUGGAUUGAUAGAUGGACAACCCAAUGAACCAUUUCACAUCUCCCUUAUUGAAUUAACAGUUAUAUUUCAAAAGGAGUUGGUAUCACAAGUAUUAAAAUACUUCUGCUUCUUUUACAUACCAAUCACUACAGUAACAGUAACUUCAUUGAAAGUACAAGGGACCUUGAAAAACAAAAGCAUUCCUAUUUCCUGAGACACAACAAUAUUGAAGAAUAUUACAUAAACUUAGUUGAUGAAGCUGCAGCAGGAUUUGAGAGGAUUGAUUCCAAUUUUAAAAGAAGUUCUGUUGUGAGUAAAAUGUUAUCAAACAGCAUCUCAUGCUACAGAAAAAUCUUUCAUGAAAGGAAGAGUCGAUCAAUGUGACAAAUUUCAAAUGUUGCCUUCUUUCACAUUUCCACAAUCACAACCAUCCCUGCAUUCAGUACCCAUCAUCCUGAUCAGUCAGCAGUCAUCAGCAAUGACUCAAGACCCUCCACCCACAAAUAAAUUAUGACUUGUUGA
Long non-coding RNA from Sarcophilus harrisii (Tasmanian devil), 829 nucleotides. RefSeq lists it as uncharacterized. The transcript is spliced from 4 exons. Lineage: Eukaryota; Metazoa; Chordata; Mammalia; Dasyuromorphia; Dasyuridae. The record is from RefSeq and is a predicted model, not a curated record.